RNAcentral lists this non-coding RNA (162 nucleotides) under Wolbachia pipientis. RNAcentral's name for it is "6S RNA". It matches the Rfam family "6S / SsrS RNA". Rfam says of the family: E. coli 6S RNA was the first non coding RNA to be sequenced, but its function was unknown until recently. It consists of 184 nucleotides that fold into an extended hairpin structure with a large single-stranded internal bulge. Lineage: Bacteria; Pseudomonadati; Pseudomonadota; Alphaproteobacteria; Rickettsiales; Anaplasmataceae. RNAcentral also lists the same sequence under 18 other names. The record is from RNAcentral.
AGGGGUCUGUGCUAUGCGUUAUGAGUUAAGUUAAAUUUCCCGAGCGAUAAUUUCUAGAGAAGGGAAUUGCCUCUGCUGGUUUCGUUGAAACUAAUAUGCGAUGCCCACCUUAACUUCAGGUCUCAGGAAUCUACUAAGGCUGACGGUAGAUACGGAUCCUUU